RNAcentral lists this ribosomal RNA (210 nucleotides) under Vibrio splendidus. Its description in RNAcentral is "partial 16S ribosomal RNA". It matches the Rfam family "Bacterial small subunit ribosomal RNA", at positions 1 to 208 of the family's 1533-position model. The record is from RNAcentral. Lineage: Bacteria; Pseudomonadati; Pseudomonadota; Gammaproteobacteria; Vibrionales; Vibrionaceae.
AAAUUGAAGAGUUUGAUCAUGGCUCAGAUUGAACGCUGGCGGCAGGCCUAACACAUGCAAGUCGAGCGGAAACGACAACAUUGAAUCUUCGGAGGAUUUGUUGGGCGUCGAGCGGCGGACGGGUGAGUAAUGCCUAGGAAAUUGCCUUGAUGUGGGGGAUAACCAUUGGAAACGAUGGCUAAUACCGCAUAAUGCCUACGGGCCAAAGAG